RNAcentral lists this long non-coding RNA (1758 nucleotides) under Callithrix jacchus (white-tufted-ear marmoset). RNAcentral describes it as "lncRNA (ENSCJAG00000076968.1)". Lineage: Eukaryota; Metazoa; Chordata; Mammalia; Primates; Cebidae. The record is from RNAcentral.
ACCUCUUCAAUCCUGUCUUUUAGCAGUUGCUCUGCUCCUGAUAAGUUUUUAAAGCGGUACUCUAAAGAGGUUUGGAAACCAUCCUCCUCGCUCAUCCAUCCAAAUCGCUCCAAUCAGCCUCCCUCGCGGACCUGCCCCCCUCUCCCAGGGCCUCCUUCCCGGUCCGGGAGUCCCUCUUCCCGCCUCAAACUUCCCGCAGACCCGCCCCGCGCCCUCCCAGGCUCGCUGGAGCCGCCGCCCCCUCCCCUCCCCCUCCCCGCCGCUCCCCACGUGCUGGGAGCCCGGGUCGCCGCAGGACCGACGCACGGGAUAAGUGCUCGCCAUUCGAGGGUCUCCUCUCGCUGCCCGGUCGGCACCAAGCUCAAGAGGCCCUGGCAGGGCCGCCAGGCCAGCGCGAGGAUGCGCUCUGCGGCCGCUGGCCUGUGCUCGCCGCUCACACGCCCCCUGCGCGCCGGGCCCGUACACCGCCACCGGCCCUCACAGAGCCGUCCGGCCUUCGCCCGGACGCUGGGCCGCCGCCCGGGCACCGCGCCGCGCCCGCCCUCCACCCGGCCACCUCCUGUCCUCCCCGCCGCCCCCUUUCUUACCGGCAGGCUUGGCUGGGCGGAGGAAGCCGACUCGGGUCGACGGCCUCCCCCGCGCCCAGGAUCUCCGCCGCCGAGUCCUAGGGCUCCGGGCGUCUUGGGGAGAAAGCACGAACGCAGUCCCCCACUACCACAAAUUGUGCAGUUGAGUUUCCCACAUUUGGGGAAAUGGCAGGGGUCAGCACAUCCGGAGUGCAAUGGAUAAGCCUCGCCCUGGGAAAACCACCUUCAUGAUCAUGAUAUCUCCCCUGCCAGGUAAGUAUGAGUGGUUUUAUUUAUUUAUUUUUAAAAUAAUUUUUACUUUUAUUUUAGAUGCAGGGAGUAAAUAUGCAGGUUUGGUGACUGAAAACAGAGAUAAUUGAAGCUAGGAACAUCUACUCUUGAAGGGCUUUUGAAUAGUCUUCCAAAUGCUAACUAUCCUUAGUAUAAGUAUUCUGCUUAUGGUUUGUAGAUUAAAGCCCAGGCAUAUGUACAUAUUGCAUUACCUAUGACGACCUAUUUUAUGUAAAAUAAACAUUUCAUCCCAAUAUGUCAAUAUGCUUUCCUAAAAACACCUUACAUAGCCAAAAUGACAUGAUCUCAUCCAACAAAAUUAUUAAUUAGUAUCACGUAAUACUCCAUAUUUAAAUAUCUCCUAUUUUCCCUUUUCUGGUGGUUUAAUCUGAAUCAAGAUCCAGUUUGAAUUAGUUUUGUUAAAUCUCGUGAGUCUCUUCUUUUCUUUGAAAGUAUCUUUUAUGAUGACACCCGGACUUGCUUAAGUCCUCCUGGUUGUCCUUUAGAAGGUUUUAUGCCAUUUGAUUCCUUUCUUGUAGGGUGUUUUGUUUGUUUCUUUAUCGCCAGUAAUCUCGUAAUGUGGCAGUCAAAUCUAAAGGUUAUUAAAUUCAAGUUACACAAAGUUAAAAUCAUAGGUGAUGUUGUACACUUCACAUUUCAUCACACUGAUGGUCAUAAAUAUCUGAUUGUCUCACCAGUGAUGAUAUUAAAUUUGGCCACAGGAUCAAGGGAAUAAAAGUCUGAUUCUAUUAGACUUUUAUAAAGUUUUUUACAUAGUGUAAAAUUAUGUUUCUCAGAUUGUGUUCACAUUUUUUUAGCUAGAACUGUGUGAAUUUUCAGGUCACCAACAGCCAUUUAUGUCUUUCUUUUUUUUUUUCCACACCAAUUGAUAAGAGUUGGC